This 113-nucleotide ribosomal RNA is filed under the name Acanthosepion pharaonis. The record is from RNAcentral. Lineage: Eukaryota; Metazoa; Mollusca; Cephalopoda; Sepiida; Sepiidae.
UAUGACCACAUCAUGUUGAAACAUCGGUUCCUAUAUAAUCACUGAAGUUAAGUAAUGUUGAGUCUGGUCAGUACCUAGAUGGGUGACUGCUUGGGAAUACCAGUUGCUGUAAG